UGGAUUAUCUAGGCUAGGAUCCAAGCUCACUGAAGCAGAAAUAAAGCAGCUGAUGGAAGCAGUAAGAUUUUGCAAUCUUUUGAUUUUCCUAAGAUCAAAUUUUAUAUGCAGUCAAAGUUAAAACAAAAGCCUGCUUCAUAUAACAAAAUUAAGUUUUUCCUUCAAAUUAUUCCUCUUUCAGGCUGAUGUUGACAAAAGCGGGACUAUAGAUUACAUCGAGUUCAUUACUGCUACAACGCAUCGACACAGACUUGAAAGAGAAGAAAACUUGUUCAAGGCUUUUCUGUAUUUUGACAAGGAUUGUAGUGGGUAUGUAUUCCCCAUCUUCUUGCAAAUAUGUUUGUUCAAAGUAAUACUUGAUUUUUAACCGGGGAUCAUACUGCUUCUUUUGGAAUCACCAGAUUUAUAACAAGAGAUGAGCUCAGACAUGCUAUGACCGAGUAUGGAAUGGGGGAUGAAGCUACAAUCGAUGAAAUUCUUGAUGACGUUGACACAGAUAAAGUUGGUUAUUCUCAUAAGCUAUAUCUCAUAUUCUAAUUUCUUUUCCAGGAUUUUUGUUAUAUAUGUGGUUUGCUUAAACUAUGCAGGAUGGGAAAAUUAACUAUGAUGAGUUUGUUGCAAUGAUGAAAAGAGGUACUGUUGAUGGUGAAGGAAAUCAUUGAUACGUUAACCAUUAUGCUCUUGCCUUCAUUUCUUGCAAAUGUGGAUCAACUUGAGUGUAAAAUGGCAAGCAUUCUCUAUCAAUAAGAUCUUUCACUAGUUGAAUUUGGGUUGUUUAGUUUGCUCAAGCUGACCUUGUUUAUAGUAACUGCAUUUGUACUAUACCAAGAAUAAGAUCCAUUUACAAUGAAGUGCACCUUACCUUAUCCUUUGCAGUGGAGAAUAAUUUUUCAAUUGGUUUCUAUAUGUAAAAGUUUGCUAGUUAUUGUUGUGAAAAUGGAUUAAAGGAAACUUACCUAGUAGUAGGGAAGGCAGCCCGGUGCACAAAGCUCCCGCUAUGCACAGGGUCCAGGAAGGGCCGGUCUAUUGUACGCAGCCUUACCCUGCAUUUCUGCAAGAGCCUGUUUAUACGGCUCGAACCCAUAACCUCCUGGUCACAUGACAACAACUUUACCAGUUACGCCAAGGCUCCCCUUCAUACCUAAAAGUAGUAUAAUUUUAUUAUUUUCCAUCUCAAUUGUGAAACACACAACAACAAACGACCCAGUAUAAUCCCACUAGUGGGGUCUGAGAAGGGUAGUUUGUACGCAGACCUUACCCAUACCCUAGGAUAGAGAGGCUGUUUCCGAUAGACCCUCGGCUCCCUCCCUCCAAGAACUCCCCACCUUGCUCUUGGGAUGACUCGAACUCACAACGUCUUGAUUGGAAGUGGAGUGUGCUUACUCCUAGAGCAACUCAUUCUUGUAUCAAUUGUGAAACACACAAACCUCUUAAAUCCCAAGCUAUAUAAAGAACUAUGUAACUCCACGAACUUAUGAUUAUAUCCUCAAAAAGACAUACUAUUAUAAUAAAAGAUUCAGGGGAUUUGAAUAGAAACAAGUUAACUAUUACACAUGAUAAAGAGGCUAAUCAGAAUUAGUUAACAGUAACUUUGCCAACCAUUCCAGCUCCCUGGUGAGGUGCACAGUAAAAAGUGUAGGUUCCUUUCUCACUCAAAGUGACAGAGUAAGUCUCCCCUGGUCCAUUGAGAAGGUCCUCUUCAGACAUUGAAAUCUUAGAUGCAUCAACACCAGCUGGGAUUUCAUCUUCAUCAAAUACAACGUUGUGGGGGAAACCGGCAUUGUUCUUGAACGUAAUUUUCUCACCGGCGCUAACGCUGAAGUUUCCAGGAACAAAAGCAAGACCGCCAUCAUCGCUACCAAGCAAUACUUCAAUUGCUAAGGCAUUGCUAGCUAGUAUUGCACUUGCAGCUGUAGCAACUACAACUGCACCUACAUCUUUUACUGAAGCCUUUACUCCCAUUUUGGAUGUUUGGUUGGUGGACACCAUUUUCGCUACAUUGCUAAUUUUGGAACAUGUACCGGAUUUAAGGCCACUGAAUGAUGGGAUAGUAACUGCAGCAGAGGUUACACUGGCCAUUGUCUUGCUUUUCACUAUUCUUGUUACUUCUCUAACUGGCUAAGUGAAAACUUGGGAUCAAGAAAGAUAAGGAGGGAUGAUGAGGUUAUAUUAUGUGUCAGAUUGAGAAGGAAUAUGGAUUUUUUUGAUGUGUGGUGUGUGUUUGUGGAUGUGUAUGUGGUGAAAUGAUGAGUUAUUAUCUGGUAGGAAGGAAUGCUAUUGGUAGAGACGGAUUAUAUACUCUGACGUGGAAAUGGAAUUAUAUCACUAGGAGAAUUUGUGAGAUGGAAAGUAAAAGAGUAUUGGGCUACCAAAAAUUAAAUUUUUUGCCUUAGUUCUUCAGAUUAAAGGAUCCUGGGACUAGGUUGGGGUUUUAGUGAAUCAUAAUUUUUUUUUAAUAAUCGUGAUGUCCGAGUCAGCUUGCCCACGCCUCGACUAAUUCCACCUAAUUACAUGUUAUCUUCCAAAUUGGCAAUUUCUGUCUUCAACUUGAACUAUAUUUAAAAUUGAAUAAUUUAUAUAGUACUUGUACUAUGUUCCCACCUAGUGUCACAAAAUAAAAUUUUAGAUAUUGUAUGAUAUUUUUGCAAGUGACGACAACGCAUACUUUGUCCAUUUUCCUUUUCUUAUCUUCAUUGUGUGGCAUUGAUACGAGACACUGUGUAAAGAGGGCGGAAAAUUACCAUCCAAACACUUGGAAGAUAACAAGAUUUCUAGCAUAAGCAAGUUUUCCCCCCAGAUAGUAGAUAAAUUCAAGUUCCCCUACUUCUUCGUUGAUAUUUCAUUGUAAUUCUAUAAAGAUUGCAAACUAAAAAAAUGAUCUAAGCGAAACGACAUUAUUAUGAAAUGAAUGCUAAAGAAGGUGAGUGAAUACGUAUAACUUCAUAAAUAGUUCCCCUGCAUGAAGUGAGGACUCUGAUCGAACAUACCUAUGUCAAUUUUUCAUGUCUGGAAUUGAUGUUCCAUUUUAUCAUUCUCGCUUGCCAAAUGAACAUGGCAAUGUCACCCUAGCAUUGCCCUCCCAUCGAUUACAACAUCCCUGUUGAGAGUAAAACAUGUUCGAUACCUUGAUUUUUUCUCUUAUCAUGUUUUUUUUAUCUGUCCAAAUCUUGAUAGACAGAGUUACCUGAUACCUAUGUUGACGAGAGACAGCAGAUACUCAUGUACGCAAAUUUGCUCGAACACCAUCAUUUUAAAACACUGAACCCAAAAAAAAAAAAAUGAGGCAUAAGUAUUCCCUCUUGAUCCAAAGAGUAAUUCACAUGGAUAUAGGAAUUGAUAAACAAGAAAAUUUGACAAACAAAAAGUACAUUAUAUUAUACUAAUAUCCUUGAG
RNAcentral lists this long non-coding RNA (3393 nucleotides) under Nicotiana tabacum (common tobacco). RNAcentral's name for it is "long non-coding RNA (NTAB_LNC006220)". The record is from RNAcentral. Lineage: Eukaryota; Viridiplantae; Streptophyta; Magnoliopsida; Solanales; Solanaceae.